RNAcentral lists this ribosomal RNA (253 nucleotides) under uncultured bacterium. Its description in RNAcentral is "partial 16S ribosomal RNA". It matches the Rfam family "Bacterial small subunit ribosomal RNA", at positions 524 to 776 of the family's 1533-position model. The record is from RNAcentral.
UACAGAGGUGCCGAGCGUUAGGCGGAAUCACUGGGCUUAAAGCGUGUGUAGGCGGACUUCUAAGUACCUUGUGAAAUCCCACGGCUCACCCGUGGAACUGCUGGGUAUACUGGUCGUCUUGAGCCACCUAGGGGCGAGCGGAACAGACGGUGGAGCGGUGAAAUGCGUAGAUAUCGUCUGGAACGCCGAAGGUGAAAACAGCUCGCUGGGGCUGCGCUGACGCUGAGACACGAAAGCCAGGGGAGCGAACGGG